GCUCCAGUUGCGCAAUUGGUCAGCGCGUGGUACUUCUACAGCAGUGCACAGCAGAGUCAUGCCGAGGGUGUGAGUUCGAACCUCACCUGAAGCA
RNAcentral lists this transfer RNA (94 nucleotides) under Lepisosteus oculatus (spotted gar). It matches the Rfam family "tRNA". Rfam says of the family: Transfer RNA (tRNA) molecules are approximately 80 nucleotides in length. Their secondary structure includes four short double-helical elements and three loops (D, anti-codon, and T loops). Further hydrogen bonds mediate the characteristic L-shaped molecular structure. tRNAs have two regions of fundamental functional importance: the anti-codon, which is responsible for specific mRNA codon recognition, and the 3' end, to which the tRNAs corresponding amino acid is attached (by aminoacyl-tRNA synthetases). tRNAs cope with the degeneracy of the genetic code in two manners: having more than one tRNA (with a specific anti-codon) for a particular amino acid; and 'wobble' base-pairing, i.e. permitting non-standard base-pairing at the 3rd anti-codon position. The record is from Rfam by way of RNAcentral. Lineage: Eukaryota; Metazoa; Chordata; Actinopteri; Semionotiformes; Lepisosteidae.